UAAAGAUAUUUAAAUAUUUUUAACAUUGAAUCUUACACUAUAAAGUGAUUAAAUCAUAUUCUCUUUAUUACAUACAAAGAAGAAAAAUGGCUAAAACUCUCAACUUUGUUUGCAUUAUGAUUUUAUUUCUUUCUAUAUUCCUUCUUUCAAAGGAGGCGGGUGGUAAACCAUUUUUUUAUCUUUACAAUUUUUCUUCUUUAUUUUUUAGUUCUUACUAAAUGGUUAUCUCAUUUUAAAAUAUUAUUUACUUUUUUUCCAGCAUGUGAAACUCUUAAAGAUUGUCCAGAGAGUUCCCACAAGCAUGAUUUCAUGUUUAAGUGCAUUAACAACGAAUGUGUGCCUAUUUUGAAUUGGAGCUUUUAUGAAUAUAACACCUAAGGUAGUACACAAACAUUGUGUAAGGAAAAAUGAUUUCUCAAACCAGUCAAGAAUCUCAUAAAUAUACUUUUUGCUAGAAGGUUCCAUAUGUUGUCCUUUAAGUUUUACGUUGUUUAUCAAUAAUUGUAUUUUUAUUUAUUUAGUUUUUUAAUUUUAUGUACCUUAAAUUUAUGGCUUUGUACUCUAAAAUGUUUGGAAUGAAAUAAAAUAUGGAACUAAAUAUUAUUGUAAUAAUAUUUUCUUUUUUCUCUUAAUUUUGAAUGUUUAUCGUGGUCUACAUAUUUUUCAUGUGUAGGUAAAAAAAUUUAUAAAUUGAACUCGAAAUACUACAAAACUUUGUAUACAAUAUCUAUGUGUUGUGAAUGAAGUCUCUG
This 752-nucleotide long non-coding RNA is filed under the name Lathyrus oleraceus (garden pea). RNAcentral describes it as "Pisum sativum (pea) long non-coding RNA (PSAT_LNC035866)". The record is from RNAcentral. Lineage: Eukaryota; Viridiplantae; Streptophyta; Magnoliopsida; Fabales; Fabaceae.